RNAcentral lists this transfer RNA (72 nucleotides) under Candidatus Amesiibacteriota bacterium. RNAcentral's name for it is "Candidatus Amesbacteria bacterium tRNA-Thr". It matches the Rfam family "tRNA". From Rfam's summary of the family: Transfer RNA (tRNA) molecules are approximately 80 nucleotides in length. Their secondary structure includes four short double-helical elements and three loops (D, anti-codon, and T loops). The record is from RNAcentral. Lineage: Bacteria; Candidatus Amesiibacteriota.
GCCUGGGUAGUUCAGUGGCAGAACGCAGACUUGGUAAGUCUGAAGUCGAGAGUCCGAUUCUCUCCCCAGGCU